GCAUGAUCUAAGCUUGCUUAGAUUGAUGGCGACCGGCGCACGGGUGAGUAACGCGUAUCCAACCUUCCCUAUAGUAGAGGAUAGCCCGGCGAAAGUCGGAUUAAUACUCUAUGUUUUCCAAUGCAGACAUCUAAGUUGGAACAAAGGUUCACCGCUAUAGGAUGGGGAUGCGUCUGAUUAGAUAGUAGGCGGGGUAACGGCCCACCUAGUCUACGAUCAGUAGGGGUUCUGAGAGGAAGGUCCCCCACAUUGGAACUGAGACACGGUCCAAACUCCUACGGGAGGCAGCAGUGAGGAAUAUUGGUCAAUGGGCGAGAGCCUGAACCAGCCAAGUAGCGUGCAGGAUGACGGCCCUAUGGGUUGUAAACUGCUUUUAUCGGGGGAUAAAGUGAGGGACGUGUCCCUUAUUGUAGGUACCCGAUGAAUAAGGACCGGCUAAUUCCGUGCCAGCAGCCGC
Molecule: ribosomal RNA, 457 nt
Filed under: uncultured bacterium
Lineage: Bacteria
Description: bacterial SSU rRNA
Rfam family: Bacterial small subunit ribosomal RNA
Source: RNAcentral